Molecule: ribosomal RNA, 466 nt
Filed under: uncultured bacterium
Lineage: Bacteria
Description: partial 16S ribosomal RNA
Rfam family: Bacterial small subunit ribosomal RNA
Source: RNAcentral
GACGAACGCUGGCGGCGUGCUUAACACAUGCAAGUCGAACGGAAAGGCUUCUUUCGGGGGGUACUCGAGUGGCGAACGGGUGAGUAACACGUGAGUAACCUGCCCUUGACUUUGGGAUAACUUCAGGAAACUGGGGCUAAUACCGGAUAGGAGCUCCUGCUGCAUGGUGGGGUUGGAAAGUUUCGGCGGUUGGGGAUGGACUCGCGGCUUAUCAGCUUGUUGGUGGGGUAGUGGCUUACCAAGGCUUUGACAGGUAGCCGGCCUGAGAGGGUGACCGGCCACAUUGGGACUGAGAUACGGCCCAGACUCCUACGGGAGGCAGCAGUGGGGAAUAUUGCACAAUGGGUGGAAGCCUGAUGCAGCAACGCCGUGUGCGGGAUGACGGCCUUCGGGUUGUAAACCGCUUUCGCUCAUGACGAAGCUUUGUGUGACGGUAGUGGGUAAAGAAGCACCGGCUAACUACGUG